AUUGAACGCUGGCGGCAGGCUUAACACAUGCAAGUCGAGCGGGGGAAGGUAGCUUGCUACCGGACCUAGCGGCGGACGGGUGAGUAAUGCUUAGGAAUCUGCCUAUUAGUGGGGGACAACAUCCCGAAAGGGAUGCUAAUACCGCAUACGUCCUACGGGAGAAAGCAGGGGAUCUUCGGACCUUGCGCUAAUAGAUGAGCCUAAGUCGGAUUAGCUAGUUGGUGGGGUAAAGGCCUACCAAUGCGACGAUCUGUAGCGGGUCUGAGAGGAUGAUCCGCCACACUGGGCCUGAGACACGGCCCAGACUCCUACGGGAGGCAGCAGUGGGGAAUAUUGGACAAUGGGGGGAACCCUGAUCCAGCCAUGCCGCGUGUGUGAAGAAGGCCUUAUGGUUAUAAAGCACUUUAAGCGAGGAGGAGGCUACUUUAGUUAAUACCUAGAGAUAGUGGACGUUACUCGCAGAAUAAGCACCGGCUAACUCUGUGCCAGCCGCCGCAGUAA
This 501-nucleotide ribosomal RNA is filed under the name uncultured bacterium. RNAcentral describes it as "partial 16S ribosomal RNA". It matches the Rfam family "Bacterial small subunit ribosomal RNA", at positions 30 to 523 of the family's 1533-position model. The record is from RNAcentral.